GACGAACGCUGGCGGCGUGCUUAACACAUGCAAGUCGAACGGAAAGGCCCUGCUUUUGUGGGGUGCUCGAGUGGCGAACGGGUGAGUAACACGUGAGUAACCUGCCCUUUACUUUGGGAUAACUUCAGGAAACUGGGGCUAAUACCGGAUAGGAGCUCCUUCUGCAUGGUGGGGGUUGGAAAGUUUCGGCGGUUGGGGAUGGACUCGCGGCUUAUCAGCUUGUUGGUGGGGUAGUGGCUUACCAAGGCUUUGACGGGUAGCCGGCCUGAGAGGGUGACCGGCCACAUUGGGACUGAGAUACGGCCCAGACUCAUACGGGAGGCAGCAGUGGGGAAUAUUGCAAAAUGGGCGGAAGCCUGAUGCAGCAACGCCGCGUGCGGGAUGACGGCCUUCGGGUUGUAAACCGCGUUCGCCUGUGACGAAGCGUGAGUGACGGUAAUGGGUAAAGAAGCACCGGCUAACUACGUG
RNAcentral lists this ribosomal RNA (468 nucleotides) under uncultured bacterium. Its description in RNAcentral is "partial 16S ribosomal RNA". It matches the Rfam family "Bacterial small subunit ribosomal RNA", at positions 28 to 507 of the family's 1533-position model. The record is from RNAcentral.